RNAcentral lists this microRNA (22 nucleotides) under Branchiostoma floridae (Florida lancelet). Its description in RNAcentral is "bfl-miR-4900a". RNAcentral also lists the same sequence under 1 other name. Lineage: Eukaryota; Metazoa; Chordata; Leptocardii; Amphioxiformes; Branchiostomatidae. The record is from miRBase by way of RNAcentral.
UAGCUGGCUGGCGAAGAAAUGC